GACGAACGCUGGCGGCGUGCUUAACACAUGCAAGUCGAACGGUGAAGCGCCUUCCUUUUUGGUGGGUGUGGAUGAGUGGCGAACGGGUGAGUAACACGUGAGUAACCUGCCCCCUUCGUCUGGAUAACCGCAUGAAAGUGUGGCUAAUACGGGAUAUUCUGGGUCUGUGGCAUGAUGGGUCUGGGAAAGAUAUUGUGUCGGUGGGGGAUGGGCUUGCGGCCUCUCAGCUUGUUGGUGGGGUGAGGGCCUACCAAGGCGGUGACGGGUAGCCGGCCUGGGAGGGUGGCCGGUCAGACUGGGUCUGAGGCUCGGCCCGGACUGCUAUGGGACGCAGCCGUGGGUCAUACUGCACACUGGGGUGAAGCCUGAUGCAGCGUCGCCGCGUGCGGGAUGGAGCCCUUCGGGUUGUGAACCUCUUUCGCUAGUGAAGCAGGCCUGCCUCGUUUGUGGGUGGGUUGACGGUAGCUGGUUAAGAAGCGCCGGCUAACUACGUG
Molecule: ribosomal RNA, 494 nt
Filed under: uncultured bacterium
Lineage: Bacteria
Description: partial 16S ribosomal RNA
Rfam family: Bacterial small subunit ribosomal RNA
Source: RNAcentral